Long non-coding RNA from Ictalurus punctatus (channel catfish), 698 nucleotides. NCBI's taxonomy places the organism in Eukaryota, Metazoa, Chordata, Actinopteri, Siluriformes, Ictaluridae. The record is from Ensembl.
CUGGGGUCAAUACAGCCUCCCUAGCUAUUCCCAUUGAAGGAGGUGUGGCCUGUUUGCCAACCGUCCUAGUCCCAGUGGAGGAGGUGUGGCCUUUGUGCACAUCGGUACCAGUGAAGGAAGUGUGGCAUCUCUACGCGUCCAUCUCAAUGCUCACAUCUGCGCCUGCAGUUCCAGUAAAGAAGGUGUGGCCUCUGUAUACAUCAGUCCUACUGAGGGGGGUAUGGCUUCUGUAAACAUCAGUCCUAGUGAAGGAGGCGUGUCCUCUGUGACUGUAGUUCCAGUGAAGGAGGCGUAGCCUAUGUACAUAUCAGUUCCAGUGAAGGAGGUCUGGCCUUUGUACAUGUCAAUCCCAGUGAAGGAGGCGUGUCCUCUGUGACUGCAGUUCCAGUGAAGGAGGUGUGGCCUUUGUACAUGUCAAUCCCAGUGAAGGAGGCGUGUCCUCUGUGCCUGCAGUUCCAGUGAAGGAGGUGUGGCCUUUGUACAUGUCAAUCCCAGUGAAGGAGGCGUGUCCUCUGUGCCUGCAGUCCCAGUGAAGGAGGCGUAGCCUAUGUACAUAUCAGUCCCAGUGAAGGAGGUGUGUCCUCUGUGACUGCAGUUCCAGUGAAGGAGGUGUGUCCUAUGCAAAUGUAUUUUCCAGAAGGACGUUUCGUGUCAUUCAUCCGACCCAUGAUUUUGGGUAUCUGUUCUCUGGAAAGCAC